UCCGCCUUGGAGGCGGCAGUCUCUUAUGAAAUAACAACAUAAGAUGAGGGUUGCGCUCGUUUGCUGACUUAACAGUACACCUCAAGGCACGAGCUGACGACGACCGUGCAUCGCCUGUCUUCGAGUUCCUUACGGCACUCAUCCAUUUCUGGACGAUUCCCGAGAUGUCAAGUCUGGGUGAGGUUCUUCGCUUAUCAUCGAAUUAAACCCCAUGCUCCACCGCUUGUGUGGGUCCCCGUCUAUUCCUUUGAGUUUUAGCCUUGCGGCCGUACUUCCCAGGCGGCGUGCUUACCGCGUUAGCUAAGGCACUGGGAAAGAUUGAAUUCCCAACACCGAGCACGCAUCGUUUAGGGCGUGGACUAC
RNAcentral lists this unclassified non-coding RNA (363 nucleotides) under uncultured bacterium. Its description in RNAcentral is "contains 16S-23S intergenic spacer region". The record is from RNAcentral.